Molecule: ribosomal RNA, 513 nt
Filed under: uncultured Glomus
Lineage: Eukaryota; Fungi; Glomeromycota; Glomeromycetes; Glomerales; Glomeraceae
Description: SSU rRNA
Rfam family: Eukaryotic small subunit ribosomal RNA
Source: RNAcentral
AGCAGCCGCGGUAAUUCCAGCUCCAAUAGCGUAUAUUAAAGUUGUUGCAGUUAAAAAGCUCGUAGUUGAAUUUCGGGAUCAGUGGGUCGGUCGUGCCACUGGUAUGCACUGGCCCUACUGGUUCCUCCUUCUUGAAGAACUGUAAUGCCAUUAAUUUGGUGUUGCAGGGAAACAGGACUGUUACUUUGAAAAAUUAGAGUGUUUAAAGCAGGCAAUCGCUUGAAUACAUUAGCAUGGAAUAAUGAAAUAGGACGAUCGAUCCUAUUUUGUUGGUUUCUAGGAUUGACGUAAUGAUUAAUAGGGAUAGUUGGGGGCAUUAGUAUUCAAUUGUCAGAGGUGAAAUUCUUGGAUUUAUUGAAGACUGACUACUGCGAAAGCAUUUGCCAAGGAUGUUUUCAUUAAUCAAGAACGAAAGUUAGGGGAUCGAAGACGAUCAGAUACCGUCGUAGUCUUAACCAUAAACUAUGACCGACUAGGGAUCGGAUGAUGUUUUAAUUUUUAAUGUACUCUACG